GUGCCAGCCGCCGCGGUAAUACGAAGGGGGCUAGCGUUGCUCGGAAUCACUGGGCGUAAAGGGCGCGUAGGCGGCCGAUCAAGUCAGGGGUGAAAGCCUGUGGCUCAACCACAGAAUUGCCUUUGAUACUGUUUGGCUCGAGACCGGAAGAGGUUGGUGGAACUGCGAGUGUAGAGGUGAAAUUCGUAGAUAUUCGCAAGAACACCAGUGGCGAAGGCGGCCAACUGGUCCGGUUCUGACGCUGAGGCGCGAAAGCGUGGGGAGCAAACAGGAUUAGAAACCCGCGUAGUCC
Molecule: ribosomal RNA, 292 nt
Filed under: uncultured bacterium
Lineage: Bacteria
Description: partial 16S ribosomal RNA
Rfam family: Bacterial small subunit ribosomal RNA
Source: RNAcentral